Molecule: ribosomal RNA, 274 nt
Filed under: uncultured bacterium
Lineage: Bacteria
Description: partial 16S ribosomal RNA
Rfam family: Bacterial small subunit ribosomal RNA
Source: RNAcentral
CUACGAAGGGGGCUAGCGUUGUUCGGAUUUACUGGGCGUAAAGCGCACGUAGGCGGAUUGACAAGUUAGGGGUGAAAUCCCGAGGCUCAACCUCGGAACUGCCUCUAAAACUGUCAAUCUCGAGACCGGAAGAGGUGAGUGGAACUCCUAGUGUAGAGGUGGAAUUCGUAGAUAUUAGGAAGAACACCAGUGGCGAAGGCGGCUCACUGGUCCGGUACUGACGCUGAGGUGCGAAAGCGUGGGGAGCAAACAGGAUUAGAAACCCUAGUAGUCC